CAGUCCUGAUAGGGAGUCGUCUUCAACAUAAUAAAACACUUCUUGCAUUGGGUGAAUUAUAAAGCCUGGAAUGUUAUCUCUAGGCACUUUGAAGUCCGGGAUAGAAAACCCAAAUAUAUGAAAGCAACUUCAAAUGCAAUGUUGUAAAUUGGGAAAGAAAACGGAAAAGGAUGCGGAAAUGAACCACUGAUUAUGAAGAUGUUAUCAAAGAACAGGAUUUGGUUUUUUGGAUUAUGCCAGAAUUAUUGAUUCUUGGCAAGGCUAAAGAACAGCAAAAACAAGGAAGAGAAUGACCAGACCAAAAGACUUUUAAACUGAAAAUUGAACAAUGCCAGGCUAAUCCCUGGGAUGGGAAUGUGCAUUUGAGACAACGUGAAGGUGAUUUAUGGACCAUGAAUAUAGUUUGGGAACACCAAGAUCCAUGAUGUACUGCCCUGUGUGCCUGUGUUCUCAGACCCUUGUGAACCACACAGAACAGUGGGAUCUAGUCGUAGACGGUGAAUCUGGUCGACUCGAACUAUACGUACAAAUAAAUGUCUGAAAAAUUUGAAAGUUAGGACAUUCCAAGGCUGCAAGGGAGGGGGGAAAUCUUAAUCAAAGUGGACUCUGACGUAUUUCUGAGAUCCCUUCAUACACUGUGCCUUUUAUCAUCACCCUUGGUUGGCUGCCGUUGUCAAAUCUGAGUGCUGACAAGACUGGCCUUAAGAGAAAGAGCUCCAAGUUCCAUGUCCCAGCUGCCCAUGUGCAUCGGAAGGCACAAACCCUCCUCUCUCUCGUCAGUUACAAGUUUACUGUGGGCCUGAUAGAAUGACCGUGGACUCUGGGAAUUCAUUUCCGAAGCAGGAAGUGAGACCAGGAGGAAGCACAACAAAGCUGAUGCAUGUCGUGGUAACUAAAUCCAUGUCUGGGUUUAAUCAGAGGACACUGGUGAGUCAUGACUAGGAGAGCAGGGCUCCUCACGGCAGUAACAGCAGCAGAAGCGCACAUCAAAAUGCAGCAUCCAUGCUUGACUUCCUGCUCUCCAUUGUUCCACAGACAUUCUUAGACGGAGAGGAGAAGAUGCAGCAGAGAUGGCUGAUGCUUUAAGUCCUUGUUUUCACGUUCCACAGCUUUCACAGAAGUGCAUGCCUCCAAGCCACAAAGACAGGACAGCACAAUAGUAUUUACCCAAAGAGCAACGACCUUGAUGGCUUUGGACCCACGAUAUUGAUGCUUGUCUGUAGCCUCCUGCUCCAGCAGCUCUGUGAUUAGACCUAUGGGAGACGCUGUGUUUCCCCCUUGUCCAUGUUGGCAUCUUGCCUGGCUGAGGGGGCAUCCCUCCCUCAUGUGUGUUAUCUCUCUCCCCAAGAUCUCAAGGGGACUCCAAGGCAACUUUGCCUGGGGCUUUGCAUUUUGAAAGUCUGCCCCUGGAAAACGUUAUCUUUCUGUGGCACAUGGGCCUCUGUGGGAAGUGUUCGUCUAAGGAAAGCAAGUAAUUCUUAUUCAUCACAGAAUGCUGCCUAACAUACAAACUAUGAAGUGUAUUUCAGGCAAAUUACUGUACAUGGAGUUACAGAAGGAAAGUUAAAGCUAACAUUCCAAAACUACAAGCAGGAGACUACAUCUAGUGUUACUGUUCUAAAAGAACACAAGUGGAAUAGAGGCUAGAAAAAUGGCCAUGUUAAUUUCUAGGCCAUUUUUCUAUUCCAUGAACUAAAUCUGUAAUUAACAUCAAUUUAUACGGAGCAGGUUUUGGUAUUUGGAAUACUAUUAUUUGGCAAACAGCCUAUUGUCAUGUCCUUACUCAAAAUGAAGUUUUUGUACCACUUUUGAAUUUAGCCAUAAAUUUUAAAUUAUUUCCCUCAUUGCUUCAUUUGGGAUUUGAAAUUUGAAUUAUUAGAGCUUUAAAAUCUAUUUAAAUGUAGAUAUAUUCUUAUAGUUUCCUUUAUUUUCCAUGUUCAUUAAUACCUCAGUGGUUUCCUAUAAUCAGAAAAAAAGCAUCAUUGGUGGCUUAGGUAAAUUGGUAAUUUUAUUUAGUAUUUCCUAAUAAUAAAAAUUAAUAUAUAACAUUUAAUAAAUGUUCACCCAAGAGAGCCUGUAAUUCUAUACCCCCAGUAUAAUGGGACGGACUAAAGGAGGCAUUUCUUUCCUCCACUCUGAGACAAAAUGCAGUCCCUCAUCAUUAAUAAAAAAGUUUAAAACAACAAAUCUAAAAGUCAGUUCUUGAUCAAAAUCAAUUGUGAGGAGAAUUAGCCCUUCAAAUGACUGGUGACGGGUCACUUAGCAAUCCCCAGCUCAACGGGCAGUUUUUGUUCACAAUUUAGGGCAGCAGUUCUGUUCUUCUUAACAGGACAUUCAGUUCUGGAAGAAGAAUGCCAAUGCAAGUCCUAAGUAGGAGACCGUACUGCUUGUUCUUCUUGUGCAAUAAAAGGGAUCGUCCUGUGGCUAGAGAAGGUGAUUCUGAACAGGUGUCUCCUGGACAUUUGAAAGAUGGCAACUUUUCUGCUCUGUGAACUUUUCAUAAGCUCUUUGACAUAUAGAUGUUUGCAGAGCUAUUUGUUUUUCCUGGUUAUACUAUUUCUUGUGUGGAUCAACAUGUUGACACGAGGAAAGCAACCGGAUCAUGUAAUUGCAUCCAGAACAGAUACUCCUGUGAGCCCCCCUAGCUGGCAUGAGUUUACAGCAUCCAAUUUACACUACCUAAAGGAGGACCACCUUACUUCAAAGGGAAAUAGAGAAUGUUUUACUUUAGAUAUAGUUCUCAAAACAAGACUUGGUGUAUCAACAGAAAUUAGAGAUGGAGAGGGAAUAUUAAAAAGUUUCCUUUGCCUGUUCGCAUUUGUUCUUUACCUUUAGUUCCUUUUUUUCAUUGCAGACUUAAGUAACACAAUGGGAAAUGAUCCUGAUCUCCUAUGAAACUAUAAAUGCGCUGCAAGCCCUCGAACAAAAAGGAAAGAAAAGAGUAUCAGAGGAAAGGGUUUUAAGUUAAGGAAUCGAUUUUGCUGUGGUGGAAAAAAAUAGUUUUGUGUUCAGGAAGCUUCUGUUCUUGUCCAUAAUGCUGUCAGUGGUCCUUCAUGCUCUUGCUAAUAUCCCAGUGAAGAAUCACCGGGUGGCAGCGAGCACCAUUAACCUAAUGACUUGGAGUGCUUUGCCCUGGGCCACAAUUCCCAUUCUUACGUUCUCAGGACAUAAUUUGGUUUAGCCAUGACUGAAUUUCUUUAGAGGCUUGAGCCCAGGGGCCUCCACAAUAAUUCCCAUGUCCACAGCACCAUGUUGCUGGUAAAAAAAGCAUCCAGGGAUAGCCAACAGACGUGCUCUACUUUAUUAAUAAAACUUUAGACUGAGUGCCACUGACGGUUUUGUUCCACAACUGCUCCCUCCAGUAGGUAUUUCUACACUUAAUAAUUAGAUCUGUCAUUGAACUAUAAAAUAAAUAAAUAGCUAAUAACAGUUUUACCAUCUCAUUUUUGUGUUGGGGGUACAGCAAAAGAACAAAACUUCACAGUUGUAAACAUUUACAUUUUGAAGUAACUCAUAGAAGAGUUUCUUACGUGCCACUAACAUGCUGGCAGUAACAAUAUCUGUGCUUUUAUUUUGUAUUAUACUGUUUACGUUCAACUUGUCACUUUAUCAGUGCCUUGGCCUGAGAGUAAAUGAUUCCAAAUCCGCAUUCCCUUAGACGAUGCACAGAACUUUUGAGAACGGCUUUCACAUUCUGACAAACUUGCAAUUUUAUUUAAACAAAUUCUUCUCCUCCAGUUCCCUACAGAGCAGCUUUUGUGCCCUUUUGUUUUUCGUAGUGGACAUAGUGCAGAUCUCCAGUUACGUCCCAGUGGACCACCCACCACAAGCGGGUUUUGUCCCGCUCGCUCGCACAGCAGCACCGCCAGUCUCAUGCCUCCUGGAGACUGGAGAGAGGGCUUUUUCUCAGCCCCAGUCUCCGCUGGCCCUGCGUCUGUGCUUUUCCGGACAUGGAACAAGCUAAUCAAUUACCCCAAACCACUUAGGAGUAAAUACAUUGUCUAACAGAAUAAUUGUUAGGUGGUAAAAGAAAACAUCAUAAUGUUCUUUUGGAUAGGAAGUUGACAGCUUCCAGACAAAUGUAGAGCUCUGUCAGGAUGUGAAAUUGUAGUAAUGAAACAAGCAACGUACCUUUGACAAGAAGCAACUAAAUACAAUAGGGCAGAUGAUUCCAAGUACUCUCAUGAAUCUCCGAGUAUUUACAGUCAAUCCCUUAAAGUUAGCACUUCUUUUGUAAUCUUCUGAAAUAGAUCAUUUGGUUAGUAAAGCUUCUUGUGAGUAAUGCAGCAUUUGAAAGCACUAUUUAUAUAUGGCUUGAUGUAACAUAUCUCAAGGUAAAUUGUGGAUUGAAAAUAAAUACAUUGUUUUGGGUAAAUGAUGUAGGUUCUGACUCUUUGCUUUAAAUUCUUUUCCCAGGUAAGUCUGGUUUACAUGAGUAUGAUUUCUGGAAUGAUGUCCUACUCUGUAUUCCAAUUUCUUCUUGGUACUUUUCCUGCAAAAAUAAGGAUAAUUCCUUAAAUUUCAGUAAGUCAGAUGCUAUUUCAAUUGGUAUGUAAAAGUACUUUGAAAAUAUAUCCCCAUUGUUAUAGUUACCACUUACCAUAAAUUUGUAGCUCAAAUUUUUGAAAAAUGAACAGCCCCUAAAAUGUUAUGGGUUAAUGGAAUAGCAGAAUAAAAAGUAAAAGAAUCAAAUUGUUUCAGCUUAUAAGUUUGCCUUCACUAACAUUAGACCGAAUUGUUCUUUUUUUCAUCAAUAGAAAUAUACGUAACCCUGGGUUUGUAUUUCAGCACAAAAAUAUGGAAAGAAUUUUGGUUUUAUGUAUGAAAAAUAUUUUAGCUCUUUCAAAUAUAUAUUAUUUAGGAUGCGAUAAAAAUAUUAGUAGCUUCUUAAAACAAUGGGUAACAAAGAACCAUAGUUAAAGAUAAACAUAAAAAUGUGUUAGCUGACUUCAACCAUUCCUGCUUUCCAUUAUGACUCAAGAAGCAAUUUUAUUCCUUAGUAAUUGGAUCAUUUUGAAUCAUACACCCACAAUUAGGAUGAAAAAUAUGAGAUUAUUAAAUUCAUGCUCUUUUUAUGGAUCAGAAUUAAGUAUUACUAUUAUGCAUAAUAGAGACAAACUGAUACCCUAAUACGCUUCCUCCUACUCCCAUGAUUCUACAAUCUGCUCACCUCCAACACCACGUGCACACACAGACACACACACACACCCCCCCACACACUCCAGGAUCAGGAUUGUUUGAUCAGUUUUUGAUCAGAACUGAUGAGUUUUUUAUCUUGCAGUGUUUGAAGGCAUUUAUUGUGGGACAGUUUUUUAAAAAGCUGGUGUUUUGUAGUUUGGAAAGAACUGAUGGUAACAGUAUGCCUUCACACAUACACGCAAGUCCAGUUCCACUAUUGAGUUCCAUGAUUUUAUCACCACUUAGGGAACCAUCAAAAUAAGUUCUUACCCAUUCUUUAUGUAAAAUUGAAAUAUAAAAAAUAUAUGGAAAUGUACAUGAAUCAUAACUGUAUAGACAGAUGGAAUAUAAAGCCAGCAGCCAGAUAAAGAAAUAGAAUGAACCCAAAGUUUUCCUUACGCUCAGUAUUUUCCAUAAGGGUAGUCAUUAUCCUGAGUUCUAACACCAUAAAUUCGCUUUUGCCUGUUUUGUGAACUUUAUAUAAACGGAAAAUUUCCUAAUGUGCACUUUUUGUUUAAAGCAUCUUUUGCUCAAUCUGUUGUUUGGGGGAUCCAUCCAUGUUGUUGCAUAUAGCAAUCGUCAACUCUUUCUCGAUGCUCUGAUAGUAUUCCAUUCCAUAAUAAUAUAACAAUUUAUCUGUUCUACUU
Molecule: long non-coding RNA, 5825 nt
Organism: Physeter macrocephalus (sperm whale)
Lineage: Eukaryota; Metazoa; Chordata; Mammalia; Artiodactyla; Physeteridae
Exons: 3
Source: RefSeq, a predicted model, not a curated record